This 207-nucleotide ribosomal RNA is filed under the name uncultured bacterium. Its description in RNAcentral is "partial 16S ribosomal RNA". It matches the Rfam family "Bacterial small subunit ribosomal RNA", at positions 568 to 774 of the family's 1533-position model. The record is from RNAcentral.
CGUGUAGGCGGCUGGGUAUGUCCGGUGUGAAAUCCCUCAGCUCAACUGAGGAACUGCAUCGGAAACUACCCGGCUGGAGUGCGAGAGAGGGUGGCGGAAUUCCUGGUGUAGAGGUGAAAUUCGUAGAUACCAGGAGGAACACCUGAGGCGAAGGCGGCCACCUGGCUCGCUACUGACGCUGAGACGCGAAAGCGUGGGGAGCAAAUA